This 315-nucleotide ribosomal RNA is filed under the name uncultured Paenibacillus sp. Lineage: Bacteria; Bacillati; Bacillota; Bacilli; Caryophanales; Paenibacillaceae. The record is from RNAcentral.
GGAUCAAACUCUAGAGUUUGAUCCUGGCUCAGGAUCAAACUCUAGAGUUUGAUCCUGAGUCAGGAUCAAACUCUAGAGUUUGAUCCUGGGUCAGGAUCAAACUCUAGAGUUUGAUCCUGGGUCAGGAUCAAACUCUAGAGUUUGAUCCUGGCUCAGGAUCAAACUCUAGAGUUUGAUCCUGGCUCAGGAUCAAACUCUAGAGUUUGAUCCUGGGUCAGGAUCAAACUCUAGAGUUUGAUCCUGGCUCAGGAUCAAACUCUAGAGUUUGAUCCUGGCUCAGGAUCAAACUCUAGAGUUUGAUCCUGGCUCAGGAUC